CGCGGCGGCCGGGGCGCGCUGGGCCGGGGCAGUAAGGCGUGUGUGCCCGGCGGGCCGGCGUGUGUGCCCGGCGGGCCGCCCGCCCGUCCUGGCUGGACCGAGAGUGCUGCAGGAGCGGUCAAGUCUUUGGUUAGCUUCUGACACAAGCCAGGGCAGGGGCACCGUCAGCAUCCCCCCGGGAUCCCGGGCAGGUGGUUACCAUACGUGUCUUCACACGGCAUCUGGGAUCUCUGCUUCUGUCAUGGCUUCCACUAACCCGAGACCUAUUCUGUGUCACUACGGCUUUGAGCAGGUGGAAAAAGAGCCCAGGGUUCAAUGAUCAGCCAGAGGCCUCAUUCACAGAGUUAACAACAGCCUGACAGAUCGCCCUGAUUCCCUGGGCAUUGAUAAGCUGCUCAUAAUGCUCACCAGAGGAAACGAAUUACACUGCGUAGCUUGCAGCCUGUCUCCCAGCAAUUUCAGGCCUUCAAGAAUCCUAAAUUUAUUAUGAGCUUACCGUGAUAAUUGAAAAAUUAACAAAGAGAGUGUAGUACUUCAGAAGACAAAAGUAAUUUCCUAAUUUUUCACUACGUGUUGGUUUUGAAUGGCCUGGUUUUUGGUAGCAGGGGGACCACAAAGGUGGCUUUUUUGAGAAGAUGCUGGAAGCUUCCACCAUGUCCAGCAGAGCCAGUCCCUGAUGGCUCUGAAGAUGGUCAUGUGCUGGCUGAGGCUGGGCCAAGUAGAGAUGAUGGUAACUCCUCUGUGAUAAUAGAUUUAAGAAGAAAUCCAAACAAAGGUGUGAGGUGCACUUUUAAUUCCAGCCAGUGAAGGGGAGGAGGUGAGAACAUGUGAGGGAAACAACAUGGAGACACUGAGGUCAGUGGAGAAAGAUGGGGAGGAGGUGCUUCAGGUGCCAGAGCUGAGAUUCCUCUGCAGGCCAUGGUGAUAACCAUGGUGAAGCAGCUGUGCCCCUGCAGCUCGUGGGGGAUGCAGAGAUCCACCCGCAGCUCCUGGGGGAGAUGCCAGAGCAGGCGGAUGCCUGAUGCACUUCUGCCUGUGAUCCAGUGGGAGACCCAAACAGAGACAGAGGGCCCUUGCUUCCAGCUUGGAGCAGCCUGUCACCGGAGGACUGCACCCCAAAGAAGAGUGACCAACACCAUAGAAAUUUUGGGAGGACUAUGUGCCUGUGGGAAAUUGGACUCAUGUUGCAGCAGUUUUGGAAGGACUGCUGUUCAUGAGAGUGGAUCCACGUUGGAGAGGUUCACAGAGAACUGUCUCCUGUGGAAAGAGCCCCCAUGGCCUCACAGGGGAACAACUUGUCUUCCUGAGGAGUGGAAGAAAACCUCAGGUGAUGAACUGAUCAAAACCCCCAUGCCCUGUCUCCCUGCACCGUCGAUGGGAAGGAGGGAGGCGUUGGGGGAAGAAAAGGUGCUUUUAAGGGCAUAUUUUAUUUGUCAUUAUCCUCCUCUGAUUUUGUUAGUAAUAAACUCAGGCUGUGUCUCUA
Taeniopygia guttata (zebra finch) is the source of this 1483-nucleotide non-coding RNA. The record is from RefSeq and is a predicted model, not a curated record. Lineage: Eukaryota; Metazoa; Chordata; Aves; Passeriformes; Estrildidae.